UACGAAGGGGGCUAGCGUUGCUCGGAAUUACUGGGCGUAAAGCGCACGUAGGCGGCUUUCUAAGUCGGGGGUGGAAUCCUGGAGCUCAACUCCAGAACUGCCUUCGAUACUGGAGAGCUCGAGUCCGGGAGAGGUGAGUGGAACUGCGAGUGUAGAGGUGAAAUGCGUAGAUAUCUGGAAGAACACCGGUGGCGAAGGCGGUCAACUGGCCCUCAACUGACGCUGAGGCACGAAAGCGUGGGGAUCAAACAGG
This 253-nucleotide ribosomal RNA is filed under the name uncultured bacterium. Its description in RNAcentral is "partial 16S ribosomal RNA". It matches the Rfam family "Bacterial small subunit ribosomal RNA", at positions 524 to 776 of the family's 1533-position model. The record is from RNAcentral.